RNAcentral lists this ribosomal RNA (586 nucleotides) under uncultured Shewanella sp. RNAcentral describes it as "bacterial SSU rRNA". It matches the Rfam family "Bacterial small subunit ribosomal RNA", at positions 235 to 813 of the family's 1533-position model. The record is from RNAcentral. Lineage: Bacteria; Pseudomonadati; Pseudomonadota; Gammaproteobacteria; Alteromonadales; Shewanellaceae.
GUGGGAUUAGCUAGUUGGUGAGGUAAUGGCUCACCAAGGCGACGAUCCCUAGCUGUUCUGAGAGGAUGAUCAGCCACACUGGGACUGAGACACGGCCCAGACUCCUACGGGAGGCAGCAGUGGGGAAUAUUGGACAAUGGGGGCAACCCUGAUCCAGCCAUGCCGCGUGUGUGAAGAAGGCCUUCGGGUUGUAAAGCACUUUCAGUAGGGAGGAAAGGUAAUAACUUAAUACGUUAUUACUGUGACGUUACCUACAGAAGAAGGACCGGCUAACUCCGUGCCAGCAGCCGCGGUAAUACGGAGGGUCCGAGCGUUAAUCGGAAUUACUGGGCGUAAAGCGUGCGCAGGCGGUUUGUUAAGCAAGAUGUGAAAGCCCCGGGCUCAACCUGGGAAUUGCAUUUUGAACUGGCAAACUAGAGUCUUGUAGAGGGGGGUAGGAUUCCAGGUGUAGCGGUGAAAUGCGUAGAGAUCUGGAGGAAUACCGGUGGCGAAGGCGGCCCCCUGGACAAAGACUGACGCUCAGGCACGAAAGCGUGGGGAGCAAACAGGAUUAGACACCCUGGUAGUCCACGCCGUAAACGAUGUC